GACGAACGCUGGCGGCGUGCUUAACACAUGCAAGUCGAGCGGUAAGGCCCUUUCGGGGGUACGACGAGCGGCGAACGGGUAGAGUAACACGUGGGUGACCUGCCCUCAGCUCUGGGAUAAAGCCCUGGGAAACCGGGUCUAAUACUGGAUAUGACUCCAUGACGCAUGUUGUGGGGUGGAAAGCCUUGUGCGGCUGAGGAU
Molecule: ribosomal RNA, 201 nt
Filed under: uncultured bacterium
Lineage: Bacteria
Description: partial 16S ribosomal RNA
Rfam family: Bacterial small subunit ribosomal RNA
Source: RNAcentral